ACCUGGGUGGCUCAGUUGGUUAAGCAUCUGAUUUCAGCUCAGGUCAUGAUCUCACAGUUCGUGGGUUCGAGCCCCAUAUCGGGCU
This is a transfer RNA of Felis catus (domestic cat), 85 nucleotides long. It matches the Rfam family "tRNA". From Rfam's summary of the family: Transfer RNA (tRNA) molecules are approximately 80 nucleotides in length. Their secondary structure includes four short double-helical elements and three loops (D, anti-codon, and T loops). Further hydrogen bonds mediate the characteristic L-shaped molecular structure. tRNAs have two regions of fundamental functional importance: the anti-codon, which is responsible for specific mRNA codon recognition, and the 3' end, to which the tRNAs corresponding amino acid is attached (by aminoacyl-tRNA synthetases). tRNAs cope with the degeneracy of the genetic code in two manners: having more than one tRNA (with a specific anti-codon) for a particular amino acid; and 'wobble' base-pairing, i.e. permitting non-standard base-pairing at the 3rd anti-codon position. NCBI's taxonomy places the organism in Eukaryota, Metazoa, Chordata, Mammalia, Carnivora, Felidae. The record is from Rfam.